AACCUGUUUGCCAUUAACUUUGAACUAUAAUCUUAACCAAUAAAAAUAAGUCAGUGGAACUUUAAUUUUCCGUAUUUUCUCUUGAUUUUUACAUGGUUUAAAUUAACCUCAGCUUUAAUAACAAUGAAUACAGUAGGGCACAGUCGACAGUGACAAUUUUCGGAUAAACUUCCUGGUUUUUGUCAAAGGGGCAGAACCUACUACAUGGUAGUUUCAAUGAUGAACUAUCAUGAUCUAGGGCUAAAAGAUGGAUGUGCCAAAUCCACCUCAUGAAAAACAGAUUGGGCAAAAGUGGAGUGCGAACACUAAAUGAUCUGCUGCUAAAUAGCAGUUAUUGCAGAUCUUUACAAGUGAAUUUGGCAAAUCCUGAUGCAACUUGAGCUUACCAGGUUUACUGACAGUUUGGACUCUGUGUGGAUGAAAAUAUGGACAAUAUAUUGUGUUCAUGUUGUGUUGUGAUUGACAUUUUUUAACAGAUAAGAUUUUUUAGUCCAGACAUAACAGGUGAUUUUUGUUCAAAGAAUAAAUACAAUACUUUUUUAUUGAUGUGCAUGAAUUUGAGUGCAAAAUAUCAACAAAGUGUAUCUUGUGUUGUUUUUCCAUUCAGUCUGUCAUCCAUAGGUAAUAUAUUAAGUAUGAGAAGGGAAUAUUAUUUUUUACAUUUUUGUUGUUUCUGCACACCAUGUCAAAUACAUGAAAAUAUAGUUGAUGCCCCCAACGGGCGGCAUAUAGUUUUCGCACUGCCCGUGUGUCAGUCUCUCUGUCCUCCGUAACACUUUUCGUGUUCACUCUCUAAUUCAAGUAGUUCUAAUCUGAUCUCCAAACUUGGUCAGAAGUUGCAUCCGGAUAAUGUCUAGGUCAAGACGAACAUGGGUCAUGCCGGGCCAAAAACUAUGUCAUAGGGUCACUAAGUGCGUUUCAAACAUUCAGCAUGGUGUCCGCUCUCUAAUUCAAGUUGUUUUCAUCCGAUCUUUCCCAAACUCUGUCAGAAGUUGUAUCCACAUAAUGUCUACGCCAAGUGUGAACAUGGGGCAUGCCGGGCAAAAAACUAGUUCACUGGGUCACUUAGUGCGUUUUGAACAUUCAGCUUGGUGUCCGCUCUCUAAUUCAAGUAGUUUUCAUCUGAUCUUCACCAAACUUGUUCACAAGUUUUAUCUAGAUGGCCUCUAGGC
Molecule: long non-coding RNA, 1172 nt
Organism: Dreissena polymorpha
Lineage: Eukaryota; Metazoa; Mollusca; Bivalvia; Myida; Dreissenidae
Exons: 3
Source: RefSeq, a predicted model, not a curated record